AAAGGAAGUUGACGGGGCCCGCACAAGCGGAGGAGCAUGUGGUUUAAUUCGAUGAUACGCGAGGAACCUUACCUGGGCUCGAACGUAAGAUGACUGUAGGUGAAAGCUUACAUCUCUUCGGAGCAUUUUACGAGGUGCUGCAUGGUUGUCGUCAGCUCGUGCCGUGAGGUGUCGGGUUAAGUCCCAUAACGAGCGCAACCCUACCUUUAGUUGCCAUCAGGUAAUGCUGGGGACUCUAAAGGAACUGCCUACGCAAGUAGUGAGGAAGGCGGGGAUGACGUCAAAUCAGCACGGCCCUUACGUCCAGGGCUACACACGUGCUACAAUGGCCGAUACAGAGGGCAGCUACCUGGUGACAGGAUGCAAAUCUCCAAAGUCGGUCUCAGUUCGGAUCGGAGUCUGCAACCCGACUCCGUGAAGUUGGAUUCGCUAGUAAUCGCGCAUCAGCCAUGGCGCGGUGAAUACGUUCCCGGGCCUU
Molecule: ribosomal RNA, 478 nt
Filed under: uncultured Sphingobacteriales bacterium
Lineage: Bacteria; Pseudomonadati; Bacteroidota; Sphingobacteriia; Sphingobacteriales
Description: bacterial SSU rRNA
Rfam family: Bacterial small subunit ribosomal RNA
Source: RNAcentral